ACGAACGCUGGCGGCGUGCCUAAUACAUGCAAGUCGAACGGUCUUUCUAUGGAAGCUUGCUUCCACUGAGAAGGUAGUGGCGAACGGGUGAGUAACACGUGGGUAACCUGCCCAUAAGAGGGGGAUAACAUCCGGAAACGGGUGCUAAUACCGCAUAGUUUUCUUGAUCGCAUGAUUGAGAAAGGAAAGACGGCCUUUGUGCUGUCGCUUAUGGAUGGACUCGCGGCGUAUUAGUUAGUUGGUGAGGUAACGGCUCACCAAGACGAUGAUACGUAGCCGACCUGAGAGGGUGAUCGGCCACAUUGGGACUGAGACACGGCCCAAACUCCUACGGGAGGCAGCAGUAGGGAAUCUUCCGCAAUGGACGAAAGUCUGACGGAGCAACGCCGCGUGAGUGAAGAAAGGUUUUCGGAUCGUAAAACUCUGUUGUCAGAGAAGAACAAGUUGGAGAGUAACUGCUCCAGCCUUGACGGUAUCUGACCAGAAAGCCACGGCUAACUACGUGCCAGCAGCGGC
Molecule: ribosomal RNA, 516 nt
Filed under: uncultured bacterium
Lineage: Bacteria
Description: bacterial SSU rRNA
Rfam family: Bacterial small subunit ribosomal RNA
Source: RNAcentral